GGGCAUAUGGUGUAAUGGAUAGCAUUCGGGCCUUCUAAGCCUGAGAUUCCGGUUCAAUUCCGGAUAUGCCCG
Molecule: transfer RNA, 72 nt
Filed under: Maricaulis sp.
Lineage: Bacteria; Pseudomonadati; Pseudomonadota; Alphaproteobacteria; Maricaulales; Maricaulaceae
Description: tRNA-Arg
Rfam family: tRNA
About the family: Transfer RNA (tRNA) molecules are approximately 80 nucleotides in length. Their secondary structure includes four short double-helical elements and three loops (D, anti-codon, and T loops).
Source: RNAcentral